Molecule: ribosomal RNA, 503 nt
Filed under: uncultured bacterium
Lineage: Bacteria
Description: partial 16S ribosomal RNA
Rfam family: Bacterial small subunit ribosomal RNA
Source: RNAcentral
AUUGAACGCUGGCGGCAGGCCUAACACAUGCAAGUCGAGCGGGGUGAUGGUGCUUGCACUAUCACUUAGCGGCGGACGGGUGAGUAAUGCUUAGGAAUCUGCCUAUUAGUGGGGGACAACAUCUCGAAAGGGAUGCUAAUACCGCAUACGUCCUACGGGAGAAAGCAGGGGAUCACUUGUGACCUUGCGCUAAUAGAUGAGCCUAAGUCGGAUUAGCUAGUUGGUGGGGUAAAGGCCUACCAAGGCGACGAUCUGUAGCGGGUCUGAGAGGAUGAUCCGCCACACUGGGACUGAGACACGGCCCAGACUCCUACGGGAGGCAGCAGUGGGGAAUAUUGGACAAUGGGGAGAACCCUGAUCCAGCCAUGCCGCGUGUGUGAAGAAGGCCUUAUGGUUGUAAAGCACUUUAAGCGAGGAGGAGGCUCUUUUGGUUAAUACCCAAGAUGAGUGGACGUUACUCGCUGAAUAAGCACCGGCUAACUCUGUGCCAGCAGCCGCGGUAA